CGAGAAAGCCCGCAAGGGUGAGUAAAGCGGCGCACGGGUGCGUAACACGUGGGUAAUCUGCCCUGAAGCCCGGAAUAACUCCCCGAAAGGCGUGCUAAUGCCGGAUGAGACCACGGGGUCUUCGGACCCUGCGGGAAAAGGUGGCCUCUGUAUACAAGCUAUCACUUCAGGAUGAGCCCGCGGCCCAUCAGCUCGUUGGCGGGGUAAUGGCCCACCAAGGCUACGACGGGUAGCUGGUCUGAGAGGACGAUCAGCCACACUGGAACUGAGACACGGUCCAGACUCCUACGGGAGGCAGCAGUGGGGAAUCUUGCGCAAUGGGCGAAAGCCUGACGCAGCAACGCCGCGUGUGUGAUGAAGGUCUUCGGAUCGUAAAGCACUGUCGCGAGGGACG
This 394-nucleotide ribosomal RNA is filed under the name uncultured Anaeromyxobacter sp. RNAcentral's name for it is "bacterial SSU rRNA". It matches the Rfam family "Bacterial small subunit ribosomal RNA", at positions 67 to 447 of the family's 1533-position model. The record is from RNAcentral. Lineage: Bacteria; Pseudomonadati; Myxococcota; Myxococcia; Myxococcales; Anaeromyxobacteraceae.